This 460-nucleotide ribosomal RNA is filed under the name uncultured bacterium. RNAcentral describes it as "partial 16S ribosomal RNA". It matches the Rfam family "Bacterial small subunit ribosomal RNA", at positions 338 to 795 of the family's 1533-position model. The record is from RNAcentral.
CCUACGGGAGGCAGCAGUGAGGAAUAUUGGUCAAUGGUCGCGAGCCUGAACCAGCCAAGUAGCGUGAAGGAUGACUGCCCUACGGGUUGUAAACUUCUUUUAUAAGGGAAUAAAGUGAGGCAUGUGUGCCCUGUUGUAUGUACUUGAUGAAUAAGGAUCGGCUAACUCCGUGCCAGCAGCCGCGGUAAUACGGAGGAUCCGAGCGUUAUCCGGAUUUAUUGGGUUUAAAGGGAGCGUAGAUGGGUUGUUAAGUCAGUUGUGAAAGUUUGCGGCUCAACCGUAAAAUUGCAAUUGAUACUGGCAGUCUUGAGUACAGUUGAGGUAGGCGGAAUUCGUGGUGUAGCGGUGAAAUGCAUAGAUAUCACGAAGAACUCCGAUUGCGAAGGCAGCUUACUAACCUGCCACUGACAUUGAUGCUCGAAAGUGUGGGUAUCAAACAGGAUUAGAUACCCUAGUAGUC